AAAACAUCGCCUCCUGCAACACAACCAAGUAUAGGAGGUCCAGCCUGCCCAGUGACUACAAGUUCAACGGCCGCGGUAUUUUGACCGUGCAAAGGUAGCGCAAUCACUUGUCUCUUAAAUGGAGACCUGUAUGAAUGGCUAAACGAGGGCUUAACUGUCUCCCCCCUCCAGUCAGUGAAAUUGAUCUAUCCGUGCAGAAGCGGGUAUAAUAAUACAAGACGAGAAGACCCUUUGGAGCUUAAGGUACAAGAAUCAGCCACGUCAAGCAACUUAAUAAAGAGCAAAAACUUUGUGGAUAAUGAUUUUUUACCUUCGGUUGGGGCGACCACGGAGGAAAAAAAAGCCUCCAGGUGGACUGGGAAAACAUCCUAAAGCUAAGAGAGACAUCUCUAGGCCGCAGAACAUCUGACCAAUCAUGAUCCGGCUGACAAAGCCGAUCAACGAACCAAGUUACCCUAGGGAUAACAGCGCAAUCCUCUCCCAGAGUCCAUAUCGACGAGGGGGUUUACGACCUCGAUGUUGGAUCAGGACAUCCUAAUGGUGCAGCCGCUAUUAAGGGUUCGUUUGUUCAACGAUUAAAGUCCUACGUGA
Molecule: ribosomal RNA, 591 nt
Filed under: Gymnocypris waddellii
Lineage: Eukaryota; Metazoa; Chordata; Actinopteri; Cypriniformes; Cyprinidae
Description: partial 16S ribosomal RNA
Rfam family: Bacterial large subunit ribosomal RNA
Source: RNAcentral